UUGACAUACUAAGAACUUUCCAGAGAUGGAUUGGUGCCUUCGGGAACUUAGAUACAGGUGCUGCAUGGCUGUCGUCAGCUCGUGUCGUGAGAUGUUGGGUUAAGUCCCGNAACGAGCGCAACCCUUUUCCUAUUUGCCAGCGGGUCAUGCCGGGAACUUUAAGGAUACUGCCAGUGACAAACUGGAGGAAGGCGGGGACGACGUCAAGUCAUCAUGGCCCUUACGGCCAGGGCUACACACGUGCUACAAUGGUCGGUACAAAGGGUUGCUACCUCGCGAGAGGAUGCUAAUCUCAAAAAGCCGAUCGUAGUCCGGAUCGCAGUCUGCAACUCGACUGCGUGAAGUCGGAAUCGCUAGUAAUCGCGGAUCAGAAUGCCGCGGUGAAUACGUUCCCGGGCCUUGUACACACCGCCCGUCACACCAUGGGAGUUUGUUGCACCAGAAGUAGGUAGUCUAACCGCAAGGAGGACGCUUACCACGGUGUGGCCGAUGACUGGGGUGAAGUCGUAACAAGGUAGGCGUAGAUGA
Molecule: ribosomal RNA, 528 nt
Filed under: uncultured bacterium
Lineage: Bacteria
Description: bacterial SSU rRNA
Rfam family: Bacterial small subunit ribosomal RNA
Source: RNAcentral